AACCGGGUCCCCAACCCCUCUCCAUCUCAGGGUGCCCGAGAACCAGGUUGUCUGACAGAAGAUUCAGGGCGAGACCUCCGUGAACGGUCCAGCGGGACACGCCCCAGUCAGCGCUGCCUUUCGGGGAGGUCGGCUUCCCGGAGCUCCGCCCCCGAGAACCAGCCACAGGCCCCGCCUCCUUCCGGAAUCCCUCUCUUUGCUUUUCAAGGGGGAAAACUGAGGGACAAUAAGGAUCUUCAGCUUGGCCCAGGCAGAGCGAAAGUGUGGCUCCCGCUAA
This is a long non-coding RNA of Hyaena hyaena (striped hyena), 277 nucleotides long. RefSeq lists it as uncharacterized. The record is from RefSeq and is a predicted model, not a curated record. The transcript is spliced from 3 exons. NCBI's taxonomy places the organism in Eukaryota, Metazoa, Chordata, Mammalia, Carnivora, Hyaenidae.